CCUACGGGGGGCUGCAGUGGGGAAUAUUGGACAAUGGGGGGAACCCUGAUCCAGCCAUGCCGCGUGUGUGAAGAAGGCCCUCGGGUUGUAAAGCACUUUCAGUGAGGAAGAACGCCUGGUGGUUAAUACCCAUCAGGAAAGACAUCACUCACAGAAGAAGCACCGGCUAACUCCGUGCCAGCAGCCGCGGUAAUACGGAGGGUGCGAGCGUUAAUUGGAAUUACUGGGCGUAAAGCGCGCGUAGGUGGCUUGAUAAGCCGGUUGUGAAAGCCCCAGGCUCAACCUGGGAACGGCAUCCGGAACUGUCAAGCUAGAGUGCAGGAGAGGAAGGUAGAAUUCCCGGUGUAGCGGUGAAAUGCGUAGAGAUCGGGAGGAAUACCAGUGGCGAAGGCGGCCUUCUGGACUGACACUGACACUGAGGUGCGAAAGCGUGGGUAGCAAACAGGAUUAGAUACCCGUGUAGUC
This 465-nucleotide ribosomal RNA is filed under the name Vreelandella stevensii. RNAcentral describes it as "partial 16S ribosomal RNA". It matches the Rfam family "Bacterial small subunit ribosomal RNA", at positions 338 to 795 of the family's 1533-position model. The record is from RNAcentral. Lineage: Bacteria; Pseudomonadati; Pseudomonadota; Gammaproteobacteria; Oceanospirillales; Halomonadaceae.